UAAAAUCUCAAGCUCAGCUUGGUGUUGGGUGCCACCGGCAUGGUGCACCCUAAAAUCAGUGGCGGUGCCAUCUGGCUUCAAGCGUAGUAAUUCUUCUCGCUCCGGAGUCUAGGUGGUUGCUUGCCAAAACCCAAUACUUUUUCUCAA
This 147-nucleotide unclassified non-coding RNA is filed under the name uncultured Leotiomycetes. RNAcentral describes it as "sequence contains ITS2". Lineage: Eukaryota; Fungi; Ascomycota; Leotiomycetes. The record is from RNAcentral.